Molecule: ribosomal RNA, 2771 nt
Filed under: Klebsiella pneumoniae
Lineage: Bacteria; Pseudomonadati; Pseudomonadota; Gammaproteobacteria; Enterobacterales; Enterobacteriaceae
Description: bacterial LSU rRNA
Rfam family: Bacterial large subunit ribosomal RNA
Source: RNAcentral
AGCGUACACGGUGGAUGCCCUGGCAGUCAGAGGCGAUGAAGGACGUGCUAAUCUGCGAAAAGCGUCGGUAAGGUGAUAUGAACCGUUAUAGCCGGCGAUGUCCGAAUGGGGAAACCCAGUGCAAUUCGUUGCACUAUCGUUAACUGAAUACAUAGGUUAACGAGGCGAACCGGGGGAACUGAAACAUCUAAGUACCCCGAGGAAAAGAAAUCAACCGAGAUUCCCCCAGUAGCGGCGAGCGAACGGGGAGCAGCCCAGAGUCUGAAUCAGCUUGUGUGUUAGUGGAACGGUCUGGAAAGUCCGACGGUACAGGGUGAUAGUCCCGUACACCAAAAUGCACAGGCUGUGAACUCGAAGAGUAGGGCGGGACACGUGGUAUCCUGUCUGAAUAUGGGGGGACCAUCCUCCAAGGCUAAAUACUCCUGACUGACCGAUAGUGAACCAGUACCGUGAGGGAAAGGCGAAAAGAACCCCGGCGAGGGGAGUGAAAAAGAACCUGAAACCGUGUACGUACAAGCAGUGGGAGCACCUUCGGGUGUGACUGCGUACCUUUUGUAUAAUGGGUCAGCGACUUAUAUUCUGUAGCAAGGUUAACCGUAUAGGGGAGCCGCAGGGAAACCGAGUCUUAACUGGGCGUUAAGUUGCAGGGUAUAGACCCGAAACCCGGUGAUCUAGCCAUGGGCAGGUUGAAGGUUGGGUAACACUAACUGGAGGACCGAACCGACUAAUGUUGAAAAAUUAGCGGAUGACUUGUGGCUGGGGGUGAAAGGCCAAUCAAACCGGGAGAUAGCUGGUUCUCCCCGAAAGCUAUUUAGGUAGCGCCUCGUGAACUCAUCUUCGGGGGUAGAGCACUGUUUCGGCUAGGGGGUCAUCCCGACUUACCAACCCGAUGCAAACUACGAAUACCGAAGAAUGUUAUCACGGGAGACACACGGCGGGUGCUAACGUCCGUCGUGAAGAGGGAAACAACCCAGACCGCCAGCUAAGGUCCCAAAGUCAUGGUUAAGUGGGAAACGAUGUGGGAAGGCACAGACAGCCAGGAUGUUGGCUUAGAAGCAGCCAUCAUUUAAAGAAAGCGUAAUAGCUCACUGGUCGAGUCGGCCUGCGCGGAAGAUGUAACGGGGCUAAACCAUGCACCGAAGCUGCGGCAGCGACACUAUGUGUUGUUGGGUAGGGGAGCGUUCUGUAAGCCUGCGAAGGUGUGCUGUGAGGCAUGCUGGAGGUAUCAGAAGUGCGAAUGCUGACAUAAGUAACGAUAAAGCGGGUGAAAAGCCCGCUCGCCGGAAGACCAAGGGUUCCUGUCCAACGUUAAUCGGGGCAGGGUGAGUCGACCCCUAAGGCGAGGCCGAAAGGCGUAGUCGAUGGGAAACAGGUUAAUAUUCCUGUACUUGGUGUUACUGCGAAGGGGGGACGGAGAAGGCUAUGUUAGCCGGGCGACGGUUGUCCCGGUUUAAGCAUGUAGGCUGGUUGUCCAGGCAAAUCCGGAUAAUCAAGGCUGAGGUGUGAUGACGAGGCACUACGGUGCUGAAGUAACAAAUGCCCUGCUUCCAGGAAAAGCCUCUAAGCAUCAGGUAACAUUAAAUCGUACCCCAAACCGACACAGGUGGUCAGGUAGAGAAUACCAAGGCGCUUGAGAGAACUCGGGUGAAGGAACUAGGCAAAAUGGUGCCGUAACUUCGGGAGAAGGCACGCUGGUGUGUAGGUGAAGUCCCUGCGGAUGGAGCUGAGACCAGUCGAAGAUACCAGCUGGCUGCAACUGUUUAUUAAAAACACAGCACUGUGCAAACACGAAAGUGGACGUAUACGGUGUGACGCCUGCCCGGUGCCGGAAGGUUAAUUGAUGGGGUUAUCCGUAAGGAGAAGCUCUUGAUCGAAGCCCCGGUAAACGGCGGCCGUAACUAUAACGGUCCUAAGGUAGCGAAAUUCCUUGUCGGGUAAGUUCCGACCUGCACGAAUGGCGUAAUGAUGGCCAGGCUGUCUCCACCCGAGACUCAGUGAAAUUGAACUCGCUGUGAAGAUGCAGUGUACCCGCGGCAAGACGGAAAGACCCCGUGAACCUUUACUAUAGCUUGACACUGAACAUUGAGCCUUGAUGUGUAGGAUAGGUGGGAGGCUUUGAAGCGUGGACGCCAGUCUGCGUGGAGCCAACCUUGAAAUACCACCCUUUAAUGUUUGAUGUUCUAACGUUGGCCCCUUACCGGGGUUGCGGACAGUGUCUGGUGGGUAGUUUGACUGGGGCGGUCUCCUCCUAAAGCGUAACGGAGGAGCACGAAGGUUAGCUAAUCCUGGUCGGACAUCAGGAGGUUAGUGCAAUGGCAUAAGCUAGCUUGACUGCGAGCGUGACGGCGCGAGCAGGUGCGAAAGCAGGUCAUAGUGAUCCGGUGGUUCUGAAUGGAAGGGCCAUCGCUCAACGGAUAAAAGGUACUCCGGGGAUAACAGGCUGAUACCGCCCAAGAGUUCAUAUCGACGGCGGUGUUUGGCACCUCGAUGUCGGCUCAUCACAUCCUGGGGCUGAAGUAGGUCCCAAGGGUAUGGCUGUUCGCCAUUUAAAGUGGUACGCGAGCUGGGUUUAGAACGUCGUGAGACAGUUCGGUCCCUAUCUGCCGUGGGCGCUGGAGAAUUGAGGGGGGCUGCUCCUAGUACGAGAGGACCGGAGUGGACGCAUCACUGGUGUUCGGGUUGUCAUGCCAAUGGCACUGCCCGGUAGCUAAAUGCGGAAGAGAUAAGUGCUGAAAGCAUCUAAGCACGAAACUUGCCCCGAGAUGAGUUCU